GGGCAAUGGCGGCAUGCUACACAUGCAGUCGAACGAACCCUUCGGGGUUAGUGGCGCACGGGUGCGUAACGCGUGGGAACCUGCCUUUAGGUUCGGAAUAACUCAGAGAAAUUUGAGCUAAUACCGGAUAAUGUCUUCGGACCAAAGAUUUAUCGCCUUUAGAUGGGCCCGCGUUAGAUUAGAUAGUUGGUGGGGUAAUGGCCUACCAAGUCGACGAUCUAUAGCUGGUCUGAGAGGAUGAUCAGCCACACUGGGACUGAGACACGGCCCAGACUCCUACGGGAGGCAGCAGUGGGGAAUAUUGGACAAUGGGCGAAAGCCUGAUCCAGCAAUGCCGCGUGAGUGAUGAAGGCCUUAGGGUUGUAAAGCUCUUUUACCAGGGAUGAUAAUGACAGUACCUGGAGAAUAAGCUCCGGCUAACUCCGUGCCAGCAGCCGCGGUAAUACGGAGGGAGCUAGCGUUGUUCGGAAUUACUGGGCGUAAAGCGCGCGUAGGCGGCGAUCCAAGUCAGGGGUGAAAUCCCGGGGCUCAACCCCGGAACUGCCCUUGAAACUAGGUUGCUAGAAUACUGGAGAGGUGAGUGGAAUUCCGAGUGUAGAGGUGAAAUUCGUAGAUAUUCGGAAGAACACCAGUGGCGAAGGCGACUCACUGGACAGUUAUUGACGCUGAGGUGCGAAAGCGUGGGGAGCAAAACAGAAGA
RNAcentral lists this ribosomal RNA (700 nucleotides) under Qipengyuania aquimaris. Its description in RNAcentral is "bacterial SSU rRNA". It matches the Rfam family "Bacterial small subunit ribosomal RNA", at positions 31 to 780 of the family's 1533-position model. The record is from RNAcentral. Lineage: Bacteria; Pseudomonadati; Pseudomonadota; Alphaproteobacteria; Sphingomonadales; Erythrobacteraceae.